RNAcentral lists this RNase P RNA (389 nucleotides) under Beijerinckiaceae bacterium. Its description in RNAcentral is "RNase P RNA component class A". It matches the Rfam family "Bacterial RNase P class A". From Rfam's summary of the family: Ribonuclease P (RNase P) is a ubiquitous endoribonuclease, found in archaea, bacteria and eukarya as well as chloroplasts and mitochondria. Lineage: Bacteria; Pseudomonadati; Pseudomonadota; Alphaproteobacteria; Hyphomicrobiales; Beijerinckiaceae. The record is from RNAcentral.
CCAGUCGGCUGGAUGGCCGCCGCGCAAGCGGAGGAAAGUCCGGGCUCCACGGAGACACGGUGCCGGAUAACGUCCGGCGGGGGCGACCCCAGGGAAAGCGCCACAGAAAACAGACCGCCGGACGGGUAACCGAAAGGCAAGGGUGAAAAGGUGCGGUAAGAGCGCACCGCGCGCCUGGUAACAGGCUCGGCAUGGCAAGCCCCACCGGGAGCAAGACCGAAUAGGGGCGCGCGCGGCUCGCCGCAAGGCAAGCCGCAGGUCCGUCUUCGGAUCGCCGCCCGGGUUGGUUGCUCGAGGCCGCCGGCAACAGCGGCCCCAGAGGAAUGGCCAUCACGCAUGCGGGAUCCCCGCAUGCCAUACCAAACCCGGCUUAUAGGCCGGCUGGCACC